GGUUUGCACAGAGAAGACAGGAGGUGGGACUGAGGUUAAGGUGGACAUUGUAGAUAUGUCCUAGUUCUCCUUUCAUCAAAGUCCUGUUUGGUGGAAUUUCCUGUUUGGAAGCUGAAUGACAAAGCUCUGGUGUGAUUGGUGCUUAGUGAGUCUGGUGGAACUUACUGACUAUAAGAACAGGAUUUCUAGAUCUGACAGUUGAUACCCUCCAGAGUAAGAGUGAAGACUCCCAGUGACCACACAGGAAGUCAUGAAGAGGCAUCUGGGAGCUCUGCUGGGGCUUCUGUGGGCCCAGGCUUGCUGGGUGAGAGGAGUGAAGGUGGAGCAGAGACCUUCAGCUCUGAGCCUCCAGGAGGGAACCAGCUCUACCCUGAGGUGCAAUUAUUCUACCACUGUGAACAAUGUGCAGUGGUUCCGACAGAAUCCUGGAGGAGGCCUCAUCAGUCUAUUUUUCAUUGCUACAGGGACAAAGCAGAGUGGAAGGUUAAAGUCCACAAUUAAUUCUAAGGAACUCUAUAGUACCCUACACAUCAUGCCCUCCCAGCUGGAAGACUCAGCCACCUACCUCUGUGCAGUGGAGACACAGUGCUCCCAGCUCCCACAUUAUCCAGAGGAGGACUGAGUCAACUGGGAAUGUGAUGAAGCAGCUCCAGCUUGACAUACACGUGGUCCUUUGAGUACCCAUGACAUUUCUGCAGCUACAGUAACCACCAGUCUCCAAGAAAGAGCCGGUUUAAGCUAAUUACAGAAAAAUCUUCUGGCAAAUAUCCUGCCUCUCUAGUAUCUGAACUGGAUAGCCAUCUCCAAAGACACUCCCACUGACUAACAUCCUGGCUUCAUAGCAUCUGAACUGGCCUGCAGUGCUCAAAGACACACCACCCAAAACCACCCUUAACAAUGAUCUACCCCUCCCAGGGCAGCUCAAGUCCCAUAUAACCCAUAUAGGCUGUUCUCUAAAUCCCAACCCAUUAGCAGGUGCUUCUUUCUGGCUCUGUUCCACAUGCAUGCUUGCUCUUGCUCAAUAAAACCCAUAUUAUUAUGUUAGUGGCAAAUACCUUUUAUGUUUUUCCUUUUGGGAAGAUGCAACUUCAGUUCCUAGGUUUUUGGCUGCUUUAAGUUUUAUAUGACAAAUUAGGAAAAUCUUACAGGGAACCCACUGAGACUUGAUGGAGGCACAGACUAAGUAGUUGGAGUGGGAAUGGA
Molecule: non-coding RNA, 1203 nt
Organism: Choloepus didactylus (southern two-toed sloth)
Lineage: Eukaryota; Metazoa; Chordata; Mammalia; Pilosa; Megalonychidae
Source: the annotation of a RefSeq genome assembly